This 260-nucleotide long non-coding RNA is filed under the name Eucalyptus grandis. Its description in RNAcentral is "long non-coding RNA (EGRA_LNC001418)". Lineage: Eukaryota; Viridiplantae; Streptophyta; Magnoliopsida; Myrtales; Myrtaceae. The record is from RNAcentral.
AAAAAAGGAGGAAAAAGGAAGGAGAGAGUUUAGUCAAAAGGAGGGGAACAUGUGGAACUAGCGCGGAAAGCAAAGGAGAGAGUAGGAAAAAGAGAGGGGAGCGUAAAGAAGAGAAUAAAAUAAGGGAGAGAGACUAGCGCGGAAUGCAAGAGAGGAAAAGGGAAGAACAAAAUACAGAGUGAGCGGAGCUGCUAAGGGCCCAUUUGAUAACACUCCCGUGAACAACUGAUUCCACUCUUUUAUUUUCGGGAAUAAAAAAA